RNAcentral lists this ribosomal RNA (379 nucleotides) under uncultured bacterium. Its description in RNAcentral is "bacterial SSU rRNA". It matches the Rfam family "Bacterial small subunit ribosomal RNA", at positions 521 to 896 of the family's 1533-position model. The record is from RNAcentral.
UAAGACGUAGGGGGCGAGCGUUGUCCGGAUUUAUUGGGCGUAAAGGGUUCCUAGGCGGCUGAGAAAGUCAGGUGUGAAACCUCCAGGCUCAACCUGGAGACGCCACUUGAUACUGCUCUAGCUAGAGUCCGGUAGGGGAGCACGGAAUACCCGGUGUAGCGGUGAAAUGCUUAGAUAUCGGGUGGAACACCAGUGGCGAAGGCGGUGCUCUGGGCCGGAACUGACGCUGAAGAACGAAAGCGUGGGUAGCAAACAGGAUUAGAUACCCUGGUAGUCCACGCCGUAAACGUUGGGCACUAGGUGUGGGGACCUAUCGACGGUCUCCGUGCCGUAGCUAACGCAUUAAGUGCCCCGCCUGGGGAGUACGGCCGCAAGGCUA